AGAGUUUGAUCCUGGCUCAGGAUGAACGCUGGCGGCGUGCUUAACACAUGCAAGUCGAACGAUCCUUCGGGAUAGUGGCGGACGGGUGAGUAACGCGUGGGAAUCUGCCCUCAGGAGGGGGAUAACGGCUGGAAACGGCCGCUAAUACCCCAUAUGCCGAGAGGUGAAACGAAUUUCGCCUGAGGAUGAGCCCGCGUCUGAUUAGCUAGUUGGUGGGGUAAAGGCCCACCAAGGCGACGAUCAGUAGCUGGUCUGAGAGGAUGAUCAGCCACACUGGGACUGAGACACGGCCCAGACUCCUACGGGAGGCAGCAGUGGGGAAUUUUCCGCAAUGGGCGAAAGCCUGACGGAGCAACGCCGCGUGAGGGAUGAAGGCCUCUGGGCUGUAAACCUCUUUUCUCAAGGAAGAAGACCUGACGGUACUUGAGGAAUAAGCCACGGCUAAUUCCGUGCCAGCAGCCGCGGUAAUACGGGAGUGGCAAGCGUUAUCCGGAAUUAUUGGGCGUAAAGCGUCCGCAGGCGGCCUUGUAAGUCUGUUGUUAAAGCGUGGAGCUUAACUCCAUUUAAGCAAUGGAAACUACAAGGCUGGAGUGUGGUAGGGGCAGAGGGAAUUCCCGGUGUAGCGGUGAAAUGCGUAGAUAUCGGGAAGAACACCAGUGGCGAAGGCGCUCUGCUGGGCCAUAACUGACGCUCAUGGACGAAAGCCAGGGGAGCGAAAGGGAUUAGAUACCCCUGUAGUCCUGGCCGUAAACGAUGAACACUAGGUGUCGGGGGAAUCGACCCCCUCGGUGUCGUAGCCAACGCGUUAAGUGUUCCGCCUGGGGAGUACGCACGCAAGUGUGAAACUCAAAGGAAUUGACGGGGGCCCGCACAAGCGGUGGAGUAUGUGGUUUAAUUCGAUGCAACGCGAAGAACCUUACCAGGGUUUGACAUCCUGCGAACCCCUGAGAAAUCGGGGGGUGCCUUCGGGAGCGCAGAGACAGGUGGUGCAUGGCUGUCGUCAGCUCGUGUCGUGAGAUGUUGGGUUAAGUCCCGCAACGAGCGCAACCCACGUCUUUAGUUGCCAGCAUUCAGUUGGGCACUCUAGAGAGACCGCCGGUGAUAAACCGGAGGAAGGUGUGGAUGACGUCAAGUCAUCAUGCCCCUUACAUCCUGGGCUACACACGUACUACAAUGCUACGGACAAAGGGCAGCAAGCUCGCGAGAGUUAGCAAAUCCCAUAAACCGUGGCUCAGUUCAGAUCGUAGGCUGCAACUCGCCUACGUGAAGGAGGAAUCGCUAGUAAUCGCAGGUCAGCAUACUGCGGUGAAUACGUUCCCGGGCCUUGUACACACCGCCCGUCACACCAUGGAAGUUGGCCAUGCCCGAAGUCGUUACUCCAACCCUUGUGGAGGAGGACGCCGAAGGUGGGGCUGAUGACUGGGGUGAAGUCGUAACAAGGUA
Molecule: ribosomal RNA, 1443 nt
Filed under: metagenome
Description: bacterial SSU rRNA
Rfam family: Bacterial small subunit ribosomal RNA
Source: RNAcentral